GGCCCAGGGGCUCACUAGUGACACUUGGAGGUAUGAGCCUUAUACUCAUCUCAAGAAAGCUGUUUGGCGGUUGGUGGGUACUGGGGAGCUCGGCUGGGGUCCUCGAGGCCAGACAACCCCCACGUCCUGCCCCACAGAACCCAGACCCUGUCACUGUUCCUGGUAGUUGCUAUUAACCCAUCAAGGUCAGUGUUUGCCAGGCAUGGUCCUGGGCAUCAGGCUCGGUGUGCAGAAAGACAUCGUAGUCUCUGGCUUCGAGGUCCUUCAGUGUGAUGAGGAAGAUGGAUGGAAACUUGGCUUUUCAGAGCUCUUGCCUGGGGCCAGGCACUGGGCCCAGAGCUUUCCAUGGAGAUAUCCUCGAGUCCACACACCAGCCUUUGGGGCAGGUUUGGGUAUAAUCCCCAUUUUAUGGAUGGCACCACUGAGGCACAGAGAGCUUAGAUGACUUGCCUGGGUCACAGACCAGAAAGAAGUGACUUCAAUCCCAGGGCUCUGGGUAAGUGGGAUCACCAUGAGCCGAGCCCAAGAGAGGAGUGAGACCCCCACUAUUCCUUACAAAUUUACUGGCCUUUCGAACAAACUCUAUACUUGUAGAUGGAAUGUGCAGAGAGGGCGGAUGUGAUCUCUCAAUUAGGGUCUCGGCCCAAACACCUGGGACAGGCUGGAUGUCUAUUUGCUCAUUCAUUCAUUCAUUCAUUCACUCCAUAACCAUGGACUAAAUGCUGGCCAAUGUACAGGCGCUGUGCUAAGCCCCUGGGGAAAACACCAGGCAGCUCACACAGCCUAGAGUGAGCUGAGGAUCCUCUUAAUCUCCCAGGCCAAUUGCAAUUGAUUGGUAGUGUCUGCGUGGAGCUCUGGGGAGAAAGGGAUUUGGCAUGUACCCCAAUUGAUUAGUAAUGUCUGCCAAGGGCUCAGCUGGGAGCCUUUAUGGCAGACCUGCUGGGUAGCUGCUCCUGGGAUGAGGAAAGAGUGUGCUUUCAGCCUUUUGGACGUCAGGGUGGAUUUGCUGGCAGAGUGGGGGGUGGGGCAUCAGGAGAUCUGGGUGCCAGCUCCAGACUGGCCUGUAUCACCCCUCUUAGGACUCAGUCUCCUCACUUGUCACCUUCCUCCAGAGGUCCUAUGAGUGGCAAGUAACUCCAAAGCGUGUUGAAGAGUGGGAGGGAUUAGCACUGAAAUGAAAGGGAGACUUCUCUCUUUUCUCUUUUCUCAAAAUCCUGCCAGAAGCUGAACUUGCUGGGUAGGCCAGAGUUAAUCCUGGAUCUGCCCUGGGCCGGUGUGUGGCUGGAUGGGUGGGGGGGGCGGCUCAGCGGUUCCCAGCUAGGAGUUGUUUUUAUAACUCACUUAGUAUAGACCUUUGUCCCCUCACCGGGCUCAGCUGGGAGUUUCUAAGGAGUGAGAAGCUCUUUGGAUCUCAGGAACUGAACCUUCGAGUUCUUUUUCGUGGGAGUGGUGGGAGCUAGCUGUGGCCAGCCUCGUCCGCCUUCCCGUUCAGUGAAUGAAACUGUAGAUCGUUGUGUCAGACACAGAAUUACAUUUAACACAGAUAGUUUCGUUUGUUUUUCAUUGAUCUUCUGAACAAUUGAAUGAGCGCCUACUGUGUGCCAGGCUCUGCAUCAGCUCCUAGAACCACAGUAGUACCCGCUGUCAUGGACCUGACUGACAUCCCGGACCAGAUGGGAACUGAAUAAGGAAUAAACAAGCAGAUAAACGGGAUCGCAGUGAGGGUGAGAAAGGAGCAGAAAAACAUCUGAUUUCCUAGACGUUCCCAGCGGGAAACGCCUCAAUCCUACAAAGGACUCUGGGAGGUGAAUAUUUUAUCUGAGCUUAUUUGCCUACUUGAAAAGCAAGUUUCUGUUAGGAGCUAAGAAGAGAGUAAACCGGACACCCGGUCAGAACAUAGGGUCUCUGUUCUCACGGAGCCCACAUUUGAGAGCUCCGUAUAUUCCGACCUUUUCGCUGUGGUAUGAAGCAGGAAGCAACCCGUCUGUGUCCUCGCAGACUCUCAGCGCCCUCUUACUAGCCUUGGAGGCGGGGUCCUGACGCACAGUAGGACUCGAGCCCAUGCUGGGACAAACAGGAGGAGUUUCUAGACUGCCACAUUCCCAGGGCUUUCCCCCGAACCUGUCUAGCCUUGGUGGUGGUUUACGUGCCGCUUUGGGGGCCUUCAUCCAAAGUCCACCCCACCCCGCAAAUGAGCUGGUGUGGAGGCAGGGGUGGCCACGACCAGGCCCUCUCUUAGGGAGAAGGCGACAGCCCCCACUUCUGUGGGAGGCUUCGGUGUGGCAGGCUUUGCCUCCGAAUUCCCUCUGAGAGCCCCAGAGCCAGCCAGGGGUGUGGGGGGACUGCACCCUUGGCCGGGAACAGGGUCUGUCACACACCACCUGGCAGACCUCUUCGCAGUCCACUCUCAGAGGCGAUGCCAAUUCGGGUCCCUUCUUCACAGGGGGAAAUGGAGCGCGUGAGUGGAAGAUCUGGGAUUCGAACCCUGGUCCUUCAUGCCUAAAGCAACUGCCCUCCAGACCGGAGGGCUGAGGCCACGUCUCCUUCAUUAGGCGGCAGCAGUCACCUGCUGGCUGGGGAGUGG
Molecule: long non-coding RNA, 2584 nt
Organism: Mustela lutreola (European mink)
Lineage: Eukaryota; Metazoa; Chordata; Mammalia; Carnivora; Mustelidae
Exons: 3
Source: RefSeq, a predicted model, not a curated record